Molecule: ribosomal RNA, 267 nt
Filed under: Glossoscolex paulistus
Lineage: Eukaryota; Metazoa; Annelida; Clitellata; Crassiclitellata; Glossoscolecidae
Description: partial 12S ribosomal RNA
Source: RNAcentral
CGCGCCCUAAAGCAAAUAGCGCGCAACUUAUGAAUUAAAUCACUAACGUCAGGUCAAAGUGCAGCCAAUGGCGGGGCAGAUGAUGGGUUACAACCUAAACAAAGACACAAAACUAGUAAUAAAAAACUUAUAAAAGGUGGACUUGGCCGUAAUUAAAAUAAAAUAUUGAAAUGAAGAUGAAUCUGAAACAUGCACACAUCGCCCGUCACUCUCCCCCAAAGGGGAGAUAAGUCGUAACAAAGUAGGUGUAAUGGAAAUUGUACCUGU